RNAcentral lists this ribosomal RNA (468 nucleotides) under uncultured bacterium. Its description in RNAcentral is "partial 16S ribosomal RNA". It matches the Rfam family "Bacterial small subunit ribosomal RNA", at positions 28 to 507 of the family's 1533-position model. The record is from RNAcentral.
GACGAACGCUGGCAGCGUGCUUAACACAUGCAAGUCGAACGGAAAGGCCCUGCUUUUGUGGGGUGCUCGAGUGGCGAACGGGUGAGUAACACGUGAGUAACCUGCCCUUGACUUUGGGAUAACUUCAGGAAACUGGGGCUAAUACCGGAUAGGAGCUCCUGCUGCAUGGUGGGGGUUGGAAAGUUUCGGCGGUUGGGGAUGGACUCGCGGCUUAUCAGCUUGUUGGUGGGGUAGUGGCUUACCAAGGCUUUGACGGGUAGCCGGCCUGAGAGGGUGACCGGCCACAUUGGGACUGAGAUACGGCCCAGACUCCUACGGGAGGCAGCAGUGGGGAAUAUUGCACAAUGGGCGGAAGCCUGAUGCAGCAACGCCGCGUGCGGGAUGACGGCCUUCGGGUUGUAACCCGCUUUCGCCUGUGACGAAGCGUGAGUGACGGUAAUGGGUAAAGAAGCACCGGCUAACUACGUG